UAGAUGCGAGAGUAGAGCAUAUCAAUAAGCGGAGGAAAAGAAACUAACAAGGAUUCCCUUAGUAACGGCGAGUGAAGCGGGAAGAGCUCAAAUUUGAAAUCUUCAAGGUUCUACCUUGACGAAUUGUAGUUUAAUAGAAGUGUUUUCUGUUAGUGGAGUUGGCAAAAGUUCUUUGGAAUAGGACAUCAUAGAGGGUGAGAAUCCCGUAUUUGGUACCAUUCCUCCUAGCUUUGUGAUACACUUUCAACGAGUCGGAUUGUUUGGGAAUGCAGUCCAAAAUGGGUGGUAAAUUUCAUCUAAAGCUAAAUAUUGGCGAGAGACCGAUAGCGAACAAGUACCGUGAGGGAAAGAUGAAAAGAACUUUGAAAGAGAGUUAAACAGUACGUGAAAUUGUCAAAAGGGAAGCGUUUGACACCAGUGUUGUUUUUCCGAAAAUCAAUUACGAAUGUUUUAUUUUUGAGGAGUUAUGACUUCAUCGGCUUGCUCCUUUCUUUAUGAAACUUUCUUAAUGCACUUUUCGGUUAACAAGUCAACAUCAAUUUCUUUUGUUGUAAAAGGGUAUGAGGAAGGUGGCUUUCUUUUCGGAGAAAGUGUUUAUAGCCUUGUGCCUCUGCAAUCGGAGAGAUUGAGGUCUGCAGCGUAGAUCCUUCGGGGUUAGAUACGUUUGUGCUAAGUUAUAGCUUUUCAUAGACAACUUGUUGACUAUGUUUAGUCUUGUAGCUUACUCGCUUAUGCUAUUUUACCUACGCUUAGGAUGUUGACGAGACUGUCGAUCUC
Molecule: ribosomal RNA, 777 nt
Filed under: uncultured Neocallimastigales
Lineage: Eukaryota; Fungi; Neocallimastigomycota; Neocallimastigomycetes; Neocallimastigales
Description: partial large subunit ribosomal RNA
Rfam family: Eukaryotic large subunit ribosomal RNA
Source: RNAcentral